GAUGAACGCUGGCGGCGUGCUUAACGCAUGCAAGUCGAACGGAAAGGCUCCUGCUUGCAGGGGUACUCGAGUGGCGAACGGGUGAGUAACACGUGGGUGAUCUGCCCUGCACUUCGGGAUAAGCCUGGGAAACUGGGUCUAAUACCGGAUAGGACGAUGGUUUGGAUGCCAUUGUGGAAAGUUUUUCGGUGUGGGAUGAGCUCGCGGCCUAUCAGCUUGUUGGUGGGGUAAUGGCCUACCAAGGCGUCGACGGGUAGCCGGCCUGAGAGGGUGUACGGCCACAUUGGGACUGAGAUACGGCCCAGACUCCUACGGGAGGCAGCAGUGGGGAAUAUUGCACAAUGGGCGCAAGCCUGAUGCAGCGACGCCGCGGGGGGGAUGACGGCCUUCGGGUUGUAAACUCCUUUCGCUAGGGACGAAGCGUUUUGUGACGGUACCUGGAGAAGAAGCACCGGCUAACUACGUG
RNAcentral lists this ribosomal RNA (466 nucleotides) under uncultured bacterium. Its description in RNAcentral is "partial 16S ribosomal RNA". It matches the Rfam family "Bacterial small subunit ribosomal RNA", at positions 28 to 507 of the family's 1533-position model. The record is from RNAcentral.